CAAGGCGCUUCGGGAGGGGCCUGCGUCCGAUUAGCUCGUUGGUGGGGUAAUGGCUCACCAAGGCGACGAUCGGUAGGUGGUCUGAGAGGACGAUCACCCAGACUGGGACUGAGACACGGCCCAGACUCCUACGGGAGGCAGCAGUCGGGAAUUUUGCUCAAUGGGCGCAAGCCUGAAGCAGCAACGCCGCGUGGGGGAUGACGGCCUUCGGGUUGUAAACCUCUUUUCCCGGGGACGAUAAUGACGGUACUCGGGGAAUAAGUCACGGCUAACUACGUGCCAGCAGCCGCGGUAAUACGUAGGUGACGAGCGUUGUCCGGAUUUACUGGGCGUAAAGAGCGCGCGGGCGGUCGUACAAGUCGAGUGUGAAAUCCCUCGGCUCAACUGGGGAACGUCGCUCGAUACUGUUCGAC
Molecule: ribosomal RNA, 413 nt
Filed under: uncultured bacterium
Lineage: Bacteria
Description: bacterial SSU rRNA
Rfam family: Bacterial small subunit ribosomal RNA
Source: RNAcentral